AUUGAACGCUGGCGGCAUGCUUUACACAUGCAAGUCGAACGGUAACAGGCCUUCGGGUGCUGACGAGUGGCGAACGGGUGAGUAAUGCAUCGGAACGUGCCCAGAGGUGGGGGAUAACGCAGCGAAAGCUGUGCUAAUACCGCAUGUGAUCUGAGGAUGAAAGCGGGGGACCAGGCAGCAAUGUUUGGCCUCGCGCCUUUGGAGCGGCCGAUGUCAGAUUAGGUAGUUGGUGGGGUAAAGGCCUACCAAGCCGACGAUCUGUAGCUGGUCUGAGAGGACGACCAGCCACACUGGGACUGAGACACGGCCCAGACUCCUACGGGAGGCAGCAGUGGGGAAUUUUGGACAAUGGGCGCAAGCCUGAGCCAGCAAUGCCGCGUGCGGGAAGAAGGCCUUCGGGUUGUAAACCGCUUUUGUACGGAACGAAAAGGCUCUGGCUAAUACCUGGGGCUGAUGACGGUACCGUAAGAAUAAGCACCGGCUAACUACGU
This 491-nucleotide ribosomal RNA is filed under the name uncultured bacterium. Its description in RNAcentral is "partial 16S ribosomal RNA". It matches the Rfam family "Bacterial small subunit ribosomal RNA", at positions 30 to 506 of the family's 1533-position model. The record is from RNAcentral.